GGGCAUGUGGUGUAGUUGGUUAUCACGCUCGCUUAGCAUCAACAGCCUGCGAGAGGGGUCCGGUUCAAUCCCGGACAUGUCCA
Molecule: transfer RNA, 83 nt
Filed under: Lentinus tigrinus ALCF2SS1-7
Lineage: Eukaryota; Fungi; Basidiomycota; Agaricomycetes; Polyporales; Polyporaceae
Also listed under: 1 other name
Description: tRNA-Ala
Source: RNAcentral